RNAcentral lists this ribosomal RNA (492 nucleotides) under uncultured bacterium. RNAcentral describes it as "bacterial SSU rRNA". It matches the Rfam family "Bacterial small subunit ribosomal RNA", at positions 30 to 536 of the family's 1533-position model. The record is from RNAcentral.
AGUGAACGCUGGCGGCAGGCCUAAUACAUGCAAGUCGAACGGCUGCACGGCAGAGCUUGCUCUGUGGGUGGCGAGUGGCGGACGGGUGAGGAAUACAUGGGAAUCUGCCCAGUCGUGGGGGAUAACGUAGGGAAACUUACGCUAAUACCGCAUGCGCCCUUCGGGGGAAAGCCGGGGACCUUCGGGCCUGGCGCGAUUGGAUGAGCCCAUGUCGGAUUAGCUAGUUGGCGGGGUAAUGGCCCACCAAGGCGACGAUCCGUAGCUGGUCUGAGAGGAUGAUCAGCCACACUGGAACUGAGACACGGUCCAGACUCCUACGGGAGGCAGCAGUAGGGAAUAUUGGACAAUGGGCGCAAGCCUGAUCCAGCCAUGCCGCGUGAGUGAAGAAGGCCUUUGGGUCGUAAAGCUCUGUCGGGUAGGAAGAUAAUGACGGUACUACCCGAGGAAGCCCCGGCUAACUACGUGCCAGCAGCCGCGGUAAGGAGUAGUACA